This is a ribosomal RNA of 1382 nucleotides. It matches the Rfam family "Bacterial large subunit ribosomal RNA", at positions 1551 to 2925 of the family's 2925-position model.
GAAGGCUGAGUCGUGAUGGCGAGGGAAAUUUAGUACCGAAGUCCUUGAUUCUACGCUGCCAAGAAAAGCCUCUAGUGAGGAAAGAGGUGCCCGUACCGCAAACCGACACAGGUAGGCGAGGAGAGAAUCCUAAGACGAUCGGGAGAACUCUCGUUAAGGAACUCGGCAAAAUGACCCCGUAACUUCGGGAGAAGGGGUGCUUCCUCGGGUGAAUAGCCCAGGGGAGCCGCAGUGAAAAGAUCCAAGCGACUGUUUAGCAAAAACACAGGUCUCUGCAAAGCCGUAAGGCGAAGUAUAGGGGCUGACACCUGCCCGGUGCUGGAAGGUUAAGAGGAGGGGUUAUCCCUUACGGGAGAAGCUCUGAAUCGAAGCCCCAGUAAACGGCGGCCGUAACUAUAACGGUCCUAAGGUAGCGAAAUUCCUUGUCGGGUAAGUUCCGACCCGCACGAAAGGUGCAACGACUUGGAUACUGUCUCAACGAGAGACCCGGUGAAAUUAUAGUACCUGUGAAGAUGCAGGUUACCCGCGACAGGACGGAAAGACCCCAUGGAGCUUUACUGUAGCCUGAUAUUGGAUUUUGGUACAGCUUGUACAGGAUAGGUAGGAGCCAUAGAAGUCGGACCGCCAGGUUCGAUGGAGGCGUCGGUGGGAUACUACCCUGGCUGUACUGACAUUCUAACCCAGCACCGUGAUCCGGUGCGGAGACAGUGUCAGGUGGGCAGUUUGACUGGGGCGGUCGCCUCCUAAAGUGUAACGGAGGCGCCCAAAGGUUCCCUCAGAAUGGUUGGAAAUCAUUCGCAGAGUGUAAAGGCACAAGGGAGCUUGACUGCGAGACCUACAAGUCGAGCAGGGACGAAAGUCGGGCUUAGUGAUCCGGUGGUUCCGCAUGGAAGGGCCAUCGCUCAACGGAUAAAAGCUACCCUGGGGAUAACAGGCUUAUCUCCCCCAAGAGUCCACAUCGACGGGGAGGUUUGGCACCUCGAUGUCGGCUCAUCGCAUCCUGGGGCUGAAGUAGGUCCCAAGGGUUGGGCUGUUCGCCCAUUAAAGCGGUACGCGAGCUGGGUUCAGAACGUCGUGAGACAGUUCGGUCCCUAUCCGUCGCGGGCGCAGGAAAUUUGAGAGGAGCUGUCCUUAGUACGAGAGGACCGGGAUGGACACACCGCUGGUGUACCAGUUGUUCCGCCAGGAGCAUAGCUGGGUAGCUACGUGUGGAAGGGAUAAGUGCUGAAAGCAUCUAAGCAUGAAGCCCCCCUCGAGAUGAGAUUUCCCACAGCAUUAAGCUGGUAAGAUCCCUUAGAGAUGAUGAGGUAGAUAGGUUCGGGGUGGAAGCGUGGCAACACGUGCAGCUGACGAAUACUAAUCGAUCGAGGGCUUAACCUAAA